Molecule: long non-coding RNA, 1936 nt
Organism: Amphiprion ocellaris (clown anemonefish)
Lineage: Eukaryota; Metazoa; Chordata; Actinopteri; Pomacentridae
Exons: 3
Source: RefSeq, a predicted model, not a curated record
CGGCACUACAUGUCAAAUCGUUGUUAUACGUUUGAAAUUGUUGCGCAAAAAACAAUAGCCAUCGUUUUCACGACGUACUGUUCUAAAACAGUCGCCCCAACAUUAGAAGUCCAAACACGCGUCCGUUUGGUGGCCAAACAAGCAUGUUGGCCUGAUGCCACUCAGCAGUUACAGAUGGAAACUGGCCACCAGACAACCACUGAAGGAAAUACUUCUUUGCCUUAACUGUGGAUUAAAGAAACAUACGACUGCAGACAAGAGUCCCUGUUUGGAGUAGUAAGAGCCAAGGACAGCAGCAAAAACUGUUGACAGCAGUGUUUGAAGUAAAUGGGAAAGCUGAGCCCUUCCAGAGUUACUGAAAGGCGGCGAGAGUGCAAGAUGGGCAAGAAGUACGAUGAUGAUGGGACUGACCUUCUCAUCAGGAUUACCACAGACCUGACCGUGAACACCGUCGACACCAACCUCAGGGAGACGCUGCCUAAGAUCUCAAGGCUGCUUGGUCGUGGUCUUUCUGGCACGUACUCUUCCAAGAUGAGCCGGGAAGUUUAACACUGAUGGAAUGACACCAGGUCUAAGCCGACACACUUCCACUUCCUCCUCAACCCAUAGUCUCUGGGAAACCUACAUGGAGUAAGAAAAGUAGACAGAGAAGUAAUUAAGUCUGUACACAACAUAUUAAAAAAGAAAUCAUGCUAAUAAAUUAAGUACAAAGAACCGAAUUCGCCAAUAUACUGGAGACGAGAGCUAUUUAAUUUGAUAAGUAUAACCUUGUUUAGUAACAUUUCAAUUAUUUGAGAGCAGUCCUAAAGAACUGCCUGUAAUCCCAAUCAUAAAAUGGGUUUGGAGGAAGAACAUAGAUGGUAAUCUGGAUAUACAUGAGUUAGGCUUUAGAACUACUAUUGGUAGUAUUGGUGGUAGUAAUAGCAAUGUGACUACUACUAGUAGUAAUGGUAGUACAUUAACUACUGCUGCUGAUACUGGCACUGCUACUACAACUUGUAAUACUAUUACAAAUGCUGACACUACUUCUACGACUCUAACAGCUGUUUAUACUACUACUGCUGCUUGUACUUUUAGUAUUACUACUACUGCUUGUACAACUAUACUACAGCUACUAUUAAUCGUCUGGUAUUUGGUUGUCAAGCUGCUAGCUCGCCUUAGCGUUUUGCUAGUGGCUAACUCGUUAGCUCUCAUAGACUGGAAGCUCUCAACAAGAUUUCAUAAUGAAAAAAGAGCCAAAAACUACUCUUACCUAUGAAGAGUCAUUCCAAGUUUCCUUGUCUCAAUCGUACGACGCAGUGUGUAAUUGUAUGAAGCACAGUGAGCCGACAUACUUGUUUCCGUUUUCACGCCGUCUACAUCAACGGAAUGCACUGAAACUUUUCCCCCACUAGCUUAGCCUCGCAGUAGCACGCAGCUCAAAGGGACGUGUCCUAUCUACUGAUUCAUAUCUAUGACAACAACGGUGGCUGCACAUAAGGACGCCUGACGUUGAUUAGCUGCGUAAAUACCAUUAUAUCCAGUCUAUGGUAAAUACGUAUGUGAAUCGCAUCAUUGGCUGCAGCAGCCAGUCACCGGUCACUCACUGAGUCACACUGAAAAAUAGCACAGAAUGAAUUGUUACGUGUUUAUUUUAUUUACAAUUUAGGUUGGUUUUUUUUUUUUGUGCGCAGCGCAGAUUUUCUGUGCGCGGAGACCGUGUCAGCAGUGCGCAAUUGCGCACGUGCGCAGCUUAGAGGGAACAGUGCUUGUGUGUAUGUCUGUGUAAGGGAGUGAGAGAGGGAUAAUCUAUGUGCGCACCCAUCUGUAGUGCAUAUGUCUGUGUCUGUACGUAUUCUAUGCUCUCAUGGGUUAUUAACAGUGAAACUCAUCUGUGUGUCUCUCAAAGUAAAAUAUUCUGUAAUGCAAUAUUGUUAAUAAAUGUAAUCAUAUGCAA